Leucoraja erinaceus (little skate) is the source of this 2677-nucleotide RNA transcript. It is a transcript of the gene named RNA binding motif protein X-linked, with no coding region annotated. The transcript is spliced from 10 exons. Lineage: Eukaryota; Metazoa; Chordata; Chondrichthyes; Rajiformes; Rajidae. The record is from RefSeq and is a predicted model, not a curated record.
CAUACGGGGCUGGGAGCCUCUCUUUGGCGGCGCGGUCGGUCUAUAAAAGAGACGUUGGGCGCCGGCGCCCAUUUGCUUUUGUGGCGUGGGUGGAGGAGGUUGAAUUGCUACUGUGCGGCCGUGCUCCCGCGUGUCGUGUAGUGAUAACUCAGUGACUGUCGAGAUGGUGGAAGCAGAUCGUCCUGGAAAACUCUUCAUUGGCGGUCUUAAUACUGAAACGAAUGAAAAAGCACUUGAAGCAGUGUUUGGCAAAUAUGGAAGGAUAGUCGAAGUUCUGCUGAUGAAAGAUCGGGAAACAAACAAGUCAAGAGGUUUUGCUUUUAUUACUUUCGAAAGUCCAGGGGAUGCGAGGGAUGCAGCCAGGGAUAUGAAUGGAAAGUCUUUGGAUGGAAAACCUAUUAAAGUAGAGCAAGCUACUAAACCAGCAUUUGAACAUAGUGGACGACGUGGACCACCCCCACCCCCAAGAAGCCGUGGUCCUCCUAGGGGGAUUCGAGGUGGAAGAGGAGGUAGUGGAGGAAUGAGAGGCCCACCUCAAAAAGUCACCUCCAGAGGACCACCAUUGAAAAGGGGUCCCCCAGGACGUGCAAACGGACCCCCACCUAAAAGGCCUUUUCCUUCUGGGCCAAUGAGAACUGGGAGUAUGGGUGGAAGAGGAAGUGGAUCAAGAGGACCUCCCUCGCGUGAAAGGGACAGUUAUCCAUCACCUCCAUCCCGCAGAGAGAUGAUGCCAUCAAGAAGGGAUGAUUAUAUUCCCAGAGAGGAUUACUACUACAGAGACAAUUACUCUAACAGAGAUUAUCCAAGCUCUCGAGAGACAAGAGAUUAUGGUCCACCACCAAGGGAAUCGUAUAGUUCCCGUGAAUAUUCCCACUCGGGUGGACGCGAUGAUUAUGGAUCAAGAGGAUACAGUGACCGAGAUGGAUAUGGUGGACGUGAAACACGUGACUAUUAUAAUGAUCGUCCAAGUGGUGGCUCCUACAGAGACUCGUAUGAUGGCUAUGGAUGAGGAUAUAGAAAAUCGUUUUGAAAACUGAUGCGGAGGUGUCCACCUGUAAGCUGGUUGAUUUCCUGAGCUGGUUGAGGACUAUUUACCCAGAUCGAGAAAUCUGGAUUUAAAUGACACCAUUGAAAAUUCAAAAGUGCUGGAGCAGCAUUGUGUGGAUUGUUGAAGAGACCUUGAACUCCACAAGACUAUUACAUGACCAACAAGACAUUCUUUAUGGCACUACUGAGAACAGAGGGUGGUUAGAGCUGUAUUCAACCAUGUGUUUCUGAAGUGCAUUUGGAUUUUAUGUAGAGAAUUUUGUAGUAAUGCUUGAACCUCUGGCGAAAAACUGGGAGAAAUUAAAGGCAGUCUAUAAUUUAAGAUUGUCUACUGUUAACCUGUCCUUCUCAGUUAUCAUUAACCCGCCCAUUAUUACAAACUGUUUGUGACUAAUUAUAAUUGACCCUUUUUGCCGAGCUAUUGGUCUGCUGCAGCUCAUGGCAAGAUUAAUCCAAUAAACUUUUAUUUCCUUAAAUUUACUCAAAUGGGAAAGGUACAGUAGAUGUUGGAGUAGAGAUGAUCACAUUUAAACAUAUUAAUAGGUCUACUGAUGGAGAGUGUUCCAGUUUGCUCAACUAAGAUCUGAAAGUAAUUUUCACAAUUAGAACACAGGUUAGACUGGUAGGGUAGAAUGUAUGACUGCUCUUAAUCCAGCACUUCAGUACCAACAGGCAAUGAAGGGAAAACAUUUUUCUUAAGACGUGAACACUGACUUGAAACUAAAUUUAGUUUUCCCAAAUGCAUUGUGUCUUACAAUUACCAUUGAUGUGAAACUAGGUAGGAAUAAAUGGAAUUAUGUAGGGCCAAUGCAGAUGACCUAGCACAAUGUGGGUAGUAAUUAAAAAGGAAAUGCUAAUGUGCGAGUUGUCUUUCUACUCCAAUCACUAAAAGUAAUCUCUAAUAAUAGAUUUAAUGAGCAUUAAAGCAGAUGGUUUGAAAUAUGCUUUCAAUAGAAAGGUCUUAUGGAAUUUCUGGGUUCUCAGAUAACAGGACUGUUGUGUAAGGUGUGGUGGGUCCAUUUUCUCUAGUAUUUCGUAGAAUUGGAGGAGAUCUCAUUUAACCUGAAAGAAGUAGACAGACCAGAUAUAGGGAGGAUGUUUGUCCUAGUUUGAAGUCCAGAGGUCUGUCUGGCUAAGAACUUUGACAUUGACACUCUCAGAUGACAACCUGUGAAGGCUAAGCUAUUUGCUGAAUAUAUUUAAGGAAAUGAUCACAAAAACUUCUGAGGGUAUGGGGAGAAUUGGCAUUAAGAUUCUUAUUGAACCGCAGAACCUGUUUGAAGGGCGCUUGCAUCAUGCAAAACUAAAGGGCCCAUGUUGAUGACAAACUGAAUGGCCUGCACCUGGGCUAUCUUCCUACUCAUACUUGAUCCUCAUUUUGCACAAUUAAAACUUCCAAGUACUGUAUUAAAAUUGGCGCCUUAUCCAAGCAGUAAAAAUUCAAUUGUUGAAAGUUAGUCUGUGGAUUUUAUCCAAUCAAUUUGAAAUGACAAUUCAUUUGGUAUUGCACUGGAACAACUGAGUGAUUGAACCUUUCUGAGAUGUAUACAAUGUUACAUGCACAUUAGAAUGUUCAGAAUUUGUACAUUUUUCAUAGUUUCAACUUUGCAAUAAAACCCAUUUAAUUAUU